GACUCACAAGCAUAUACCAUACAGAGAAAACAAGAAUCUGACCGGCACAGCUCGUUAUGCCAGUGUCAACACACACCUUGGAGUUGAGCAAAGCAGGAGAGAUGAUUUGGAAUCUCUUGGCUAUGUGCUUAUGUAUUUUCUUAGAGGAAGCCUUCCAUGGCAGGGUCUGAAAGCUGGUACCAAAAAACAGAAAUAUGAUAAAAUCAGUGAGAAGAAGAUGUUAACUCCAAUAGAGGUGCUAUGCAAAUCCUAUCCUUCAGAAUUUACAUCAUACUUCCACUAUUGUCGAUCGUUACGGUUUGAAGAUAAGCCUGACUAUUCAUACUUGAAGAGGCUGUUCAGAGAUUUGUUUAUUCGUGAAGGUUAUCAA
This 370-nucleotide unclassified non-coding RNA is filed under the name Hevea brasiliensis (rubber tree). Lineage: Eukaryota; Viridiplantae; Streptophyta; Magnoliopsida; Malpighiales; Euphorbiaceae. The record is from RNAcentral.